UUUCCGUAGGUGAACCUGCGGAAGGAUCAUUACUGAAAUGAACUUUUCAAGUAUCUUGGCCGAUAAGAUUGUAUCCAGUCUAGUUUAGUGUACGCAUGUACACUAAACUAGACUAGACGCAGUCUAUCAGCCGACAUACGUCCAACCCCAAUGUGUGAAUCGAUGAUACUAUCCCAAAGGGCAAUGCGCGUAUGAAAAAGAUGAAUUUCUUUUUCAUAUACGUGUUCGCACUUUGUCUAUAUCAACGCCAAAAAACAAAAACCCAUAUCUUAACCUUUGCAGACUCAUAUCUCAAAAAGGAAAAUUGAUUAAUAUUUUUCAAUAUACAAAUUAAAGACAACUUUUAACAACGGAUCUCUAGGCUCUC
RNAcentral lists this unclassified non-coding RNA (367 nucleotides) under plant metagenome. Its description in RNAcentral is "partial contains small subunit ribosomal RNA, internal transcribed spacer 1, and 5.8S ribosomal RNA". The record is from RNAcentral.